Molecule: long non-coding RNA, 1350 nt
Organism: Passer domesticus (house sparrow)
Lineage: Eukaryota; Metazoa; Chordata; Aves; Passeriformes; Passeridae
Exons: 3
Source: RefSeq, a predicted model, not a curated record
UGUAUGUGUCACUGCAAACACUGGCACACAGAUGGGCUCUUUGGACUGCAGCCCAUUUCUCCCUUCCACUAAACUUCCACAACUCCCUUCCACUAAAUGGUGGCACCUAUUGAAGAUGACACAUGCUGAGGACUGAGUUUAGCAACCACCAGCCAUGUGCACAACUCUGUAAACACAGAGAGAUGGAGCAGAUGACUUGGCCACAGAAAUCUAAGGAGAGGAACUGGCAGGAGCAUGUUCUUCAGCCCAGAGGCCCCAGAGCCCACCCAAGAGAAGCUCAGGACACCAUCUGAUAAUGCAGGAGGUCUGGUGCCUUUCCUCAACAUCUGAGCUGAAGAGGUCUAUCUCAGAACACACUCAGCACGAGAAAAUGGCCUUCGGGGUAUUGAGCAAGAUCUCCCACCUGUAAUCCAACAGGCACUUCAAAUAGCACAGUCACAUGCUGCCACGUGACUCAAGGGGCUGCACAGAAUCUCACCACCAAGAAAUGUGUGAUCUGAAGCUGCACUAGGACGUGAGAUAAGUGCUUUGGCUGUAACCACUGUAACAUCACAUUAACAUCAUUCACACUAUGCAGACUCCAAAACACAGGAUCUUGUUUGGGAAACGGUUUUGUCCUACUGUGAAAAUAUUUCCUAUGAAAUGCUCAUGUGUCUGUGCUGAAAUAUCCAUCCUGAACCUCCCAGGCUCUUUGAAAGCAUCUAAAGGAAAUUGUGCCUCAGCAGCAGGGUGAGUGCUCCAUGCAGAUCCAGUGGCCUCUCAAAGCCACAAAAGAGCAAUGUUGUUCUUGAUGUCAGCAUCAGCUCUUCUAAGGGAAAUGCUCUCAAGGUCCAAAGGUAACAGAGAUGUCACAACUGAGGAACCUUGGUGCAGCAAUAAAAGUGGCCCUCAGCUGACUCUUUUCUUUGGUCUCAGCAGUGUGAGCUGGAGCUGUGGCUCUUGCAGCCAGGCUCAGGACCCUUACCAGUGAAUUCAGGGCUUGCAGCAUCUCAGCACUGCCAUGGCAAUGCAGAGAAAAAAGUGGAGUUAGGACAGGCUUGGUCUUCCAGAAGUGGUCACAGGACUGGCACUUUCAAUGGCCCAGAAAAAGAAACAAUUCAAUGCAGCAGAGUUUUCUUUGUAUGUAACUGGGCCAAGCAUCUCAUAAAAGGACAGUGAUGGAUCUGUUGCUCUCUGUCCUUCUUGGUCCCAAGUUAAAGAGAAAAUUUCUUUGGUACAUGCUCUCACCAAGGCAACAGAAAAUAUCUGGUGGGGUCUGAAUCACACAUAUGGCAGAUACUUGGAAUGCAGCUUUGGAACAGGCAUUGCUAUGGUACAGAGAUAAGAGCUGGCUGGGAUGAAAAGUAGUAG